RNAcentral lists this non-coding RNA (26 nucleotides) under Mus musculus (house mouse). Lineage: Eukaryota; Metazoa; Chordata; Mammalia; Rodentia; Muridae. The record is from RNAcentral.
UGAUGUUUGUGCAGGAAUAGAAACCG